Brachypodium distachyon (stiff brome) is the source of this 125-nucleotide non-coding RNA. NCBI's taxonomy places the organism in Eukaryota, Viridiplantae, Streptophyta, Magnoliopsida, Poales, Poaceae. The record is from Rfam.
AUGGUACUCCCUCUGUCCCAUAUUAGUUGUCUCAAAUUUGUCCAAAUUUGGAUGUAUCUAUGCCUAAAAAGCGUCUAGAUACAUUUAAUAUUUAUACAAUUAAUAUGGGACUGAGGGAGUACUAG